This is an RNA transcript of Salvelinus sp. IW2-2015, 720 nucleotides long. RefSeq lists it as uncharacterized. The record is from RefSeq and is a predicted model, not a curated record. Lineage: Eukaryota; Metazoa; Chordata; Actinopteri; Salmoniformes; Salmonidae.
GCAUUCUGGGAUGUAGAAUGAAACACAAUGGCGGCGAAACUGAAUCACCUGCAACUUUUUUUGUGGUCGAUUUGUAAACCAAGCCGACUACUUUCUGGGGUCUUUGGCUUUCGCAAAAAUGCUGAGUUGCACAAUGGCAGUGUACCGCCACCACGCGCCUCCAUACUCAAAUGUACAUGUCCCCUACAGUGAGUUCUUCCAGCUGGAGGCCCUGACACACUACCACCGUGUGGUAAGCCUAGAGAACUUCACGAAGCAGCUUGCCCCAACACUGGCCUAAGGGCAGCCUACUGAGUCAGCUGCCCAGAGGAGUGUAGACAAGAAGUCCUGCCCCAUGAAGGUGAGUGUUGUGAUUGAUGUGUAGAGUCAGAGAUGAUUACUGACGACUGUUGUUUAGGUAUUGAGCCUAGUUACCAAAAAAAUAUACUUUGAAACUGGUCAGAGAGAUUGUUUGAAAGCUAGGCCAUGGAACAGAGUCUAAUUAACUAAUUAAUUGCUUUGGUGUUGUUCAUGCCAAUGAAAAKAAUGCCAUGGCACGGUAAAACACUGCCCCCUGGUGGACUGUUACUAUAACUGUAUUUACCUACACAUCUCUCACAUACGUCUAUACUAAACAAAAAUAUCAUUGGAACAUGGGAAGUGUUGCCCAUGUUUCAUGAGCUGAAAUAAAAGAUACCAGACAUGUUCCAUAAGCAGAAAAAAAACGUAUUUCUCUMAAAU